GUUCCUGUAGUGUAGUGGCUAUCACGUUUGCUUUACACGCAAUAGGUCUCUGGUUCAAAACCAGACAGAAACA
This 73-nucleotide transfer RNA is filed under the name Poecilia formosa (Amazon molly). It matches the Rfam family "tRNA". From Rfam's summary of the family: Transfer RNA (tRNA) molecules are approximately 80 nucleotides in length. Their secondary structure includes four short double-helical elements and three loops (D, anti-codon, and T loops). Further hydrogen bonds mediate the characteristic L-shaped molecular structure. tRNAs have two regions of fundamental functional importance: the anti-codon, which is responsible for specific mRNA codon recognition, and the 3' end, to which the tRNAs corresponding amino acid is attached (by aminoacyl-tRNA synthetases). tRNAs cope with the degeneracy of the genetic code in two manners: having more than one tRNA (with a specific anti-codon) for a particular amino acid; and 'wobble' base-pairing, i.e. permitting non-standard base-pairing at the 3rd anti-codon position. The record is from Rfam by way of RNAcentral. Lineage: Eukaryota; Metazoa; Chordata; Actinopteri; Cyprinodontiformes; Poeciliidae.